RNAcentral lists this ribosomal RNA (159 nucleotides) under uncultured soil bacterium. Its description in RNAcentral is "partial 16S ribosomal RNA". It matches the Rfam family "Bacterial small subunit ribosomal RNA", at positions 26 to 179 of the family's 1533-position model. The record is from RNAcentral.
AGGAUGAACGCUGGCGGCGUGCUUAACGCAUGCAAGUCGAACGAUGAAGGCUGGAGCUUGCUCUGGCUGGAUUAGUGGCGAACGGGUGAGUAACACGUGAGUAACCUGCCCCAGACUCUGGGAUAAGCGCUGGAAACGGCGUCUAAUACCGGAUACGAG